UCUGUCAGUAAAAGUGAAAGAAGAAAGUGUCUGAAAUCCCAGCUACUCCGGAGGCUGAGGCAGAAGAAUCGCUUGAAUCCGGGAGGCGAAUGUUGCAAUGAGCCGAGAUCGUGCCACUGCACUCCAGCCUGGGCGACAGAGCAAGACUCUGUCUCAAAAAAGGAAACAAACAAAAAAAAGAAAGUGAAUUGGCCACCUUUUCAGAGCAACCCCGUGGGCCAGGGCUUUUUCCUUCCAUCGCAAGGGAAAUGGUGAACUUGGCGGGUGGGGUUGGAGGCAGUGGUCCAGAUAUGUGAUGAAUGCCUCGAAAAGAAGUGAACAUUGCCUCAUUUCUUCCUUCUGGAGUGCUGUCCGUAAGAGUUUCCGAGGCCAUUGGUAGCUGCAGAACCCCUUUUGAAAUAAAAUCUUAUACAAGCCCCAGUAUACAAAGGCAGGUAAAAAGGGAGCUAGAUUGGUUUGGGGGACUUUGAGAAAUCUUAGCUGAUGGAUUUUACAAUGUUGUUAAAAUGCCCAGUGAAGAGAGAAAGGCAUGUGAAUUCAUCUUCCAAAGCCCAUGGUGAAAUGUGAGACAAAAUAUCCACUCUAAAAAAUUAGCAAUCAGGCUGGGUGCAGCAUUUCUGUUGGAAGACAUUUCUGGAGGCCAAGGUGGGGUGAUCACUUGAAGUCAGGAGUUCAAGCCCAGCCCAGCCAACAUGGUGAAACCCUGUCUCUACUACAAAUACAAAAAUUAGCUGAGCACAGUGGUGCAUGCCUGUAGUCCCAGCUACUCAGGAGGCUGAGGCAGGAGAAUGGCUUGGACCCAUGAGGUGGAGGUUGCAGUGAGUGGAGAUUGUGCCACUGCACUCCAGCCGGGGUGACAGAGCAAGACGUCUCAAAAAAAAAAAAAAAAUUAGCAGUCAGAUGGCACUGACUUCUUUUAUUGAUUUUCCAGAAUGCUCUCUUCAAAGCCUACACGUUUUCAUCUUUGGGUUCAGUUUUCUUGAGGGCAAAACUAGUGCCUAAUUAAGUCUUAUUUUUGUGUCUGAUUAUCUUUAACACCCUUGAAAAGUGUUUGCCAGUUUUCUAGAAAAAAAUUGAUGACUUGCUCCUCCGCUGGUUCUGCUGACUUGCUGUUUUGGAAGAGAUGUUUUUCUUGUUUUUCUUUUCAUUGGUGUCAAGGGAGAUGGAAACAGUGAGGGCUUUAACCUCUUCUCCUCUUUGCCAGGCUAGGAAGACCCAGUUGAGACAGCGGACACUAGAGCAGCCUGGAAGGGAACACCUGCCUACGAAGCCCCUAGGAGCAUGAGGUGUUUCCUCCCACAGCUUCCUGUCCUGCCCAGGGCUAAGAGGACAAGACUGGCAGAAGGACAACCAGCAAUGCUGAGGGACUGUGGCUCAAGGCACUGAUGUCAUUGCCUUGGGUUGCAGGUAAGUGAAACCUACCUCAAAUGAGCUUCAGCCACAAUGGACCUUUAUUGGAAAGCCGUCUUAGAGAGACCCAGGGAUACAGGCCUGAUUGCCCCCUGUCUCAUUUCUCUGUUCUUCUCAUUCUCCCACUCUACAGACAGACUCACUGCUUUGUCCUACGUGAGGACAAACCCAGCUGCUUCAUAGCCUCUGGGUUUAUGUAUCUGCUCAAGCUAACCAGCCCAAUCUGAGACCAAUGCAUUAGUCACAAUUCCAAGCUCCAAGGAGAAUGAAUCUGAUUGCCUUCAUCAGGUUACCUACUGUGGGGAGGUCAUUGUCAUGUAAUAGAAAGGCAGCUCCCAGGAGAUUAUUGAGGGCUGAAAAUAUACCCCUAAAGGUAUCUAUUAUCAGAUUGAGCAUGUCCCUCCAAAAUUCUGUGCCUUUGUACAGUAGCUCCCUCUGUUGUGACAGCAGUGUGGCUGUGAUGAUGGGAGUGGCUCAGACAACAAGAAAAGGUUUUAAGUAUUUCCCAAGCCACCAGCAUUAGACAGUUGGUUCAGCUCACCAGUUGAAAUAUCUGGUAUGUGUCAGAUACCCUCCGAGGCUCUGAAGAGAUUGGUGUAACCCAGAUACAUUUUGGGGCCCCAUGUGGCUUAGUUUAGGUAUGGAGACACAUUUAAAAACACACAGUCCCAAAAUAAUUAAACUUAAUUAAAACUAAAUUAUAAUUUUUCUUUUGCAUAGUUUUUCUUUUUUUGAAGGAGUCUAACUCUGUCACCUAGGCUGGAGUGCAGUGGAGCAAUUGCGGCUCACUGCAGCCUCAACUUCCUGGGCUCAAGCAAUCCUCCCACCUCAGCCUCAUGAGUAGCUUGGACUACAGUGCCCGAGGGGCAAAACUGCAGCAGAGUGGCUCCUGUAUCCUCAGCACUCAACAUGGACCCCGUUGUUGGUGUUCAAGAAACAUUUGAGGAGCUGCACUUACUUGGAAUGAGAAAAAGUUACACCCAUGACCUCCAGUCUGUCCCUUCAGGAGAUAAAGCGAGUCUGUGACAUGGCCACAGAUGCCUGCAGUCCCAGCCCCCUGGCCAGAAGCAUUUCUGUAGGUUACAGCUGAGAGCCUUCAGCCAGGUCAGUAUGAAAUGAAAAUGAAAAGCUCAUAUUUUGUUGUUUUUUUUUUUUUGAGGAGGGAGAGGGUAUAUUAACGGCAUUCUUCAGUAAUGAUAAGAAUAUGUUUCUUUUCUUUUUUUUAAGACAGGGUCUCUCUCUCUGUCACCCAGGCUGGACUGCACUGGCAUGAUCUUGGCUCACUGCAACCUCUGCUCCCCAGGCUCAAGUGAUCCUCCUACCUCAGCCUCCCAAAGUGCUGG
Molecule: long non-coding RNA, 2753 nt
Filed under: Homo sapiens (human)
Lineage: Eukaryota; Metazoa; Chordata; Mammalia; Primates; Hominidae
Description: HSALNT0121193
Source: RNAcentral